GUGGUCGCAGGCAAGCUGAGCCCCGACGGCGUGGCGACGCCGGCCGGGCUGAUCUCGGCGGCGAUAGCGCACGCGUUCGCGCUGUUCGUGGCGGUGUCGGUGGGCGCCAACAUCUCGGGCGGGCACGUGAACCCGGCGGUGACCUUCGGCGCCUUCGUGGGCGGCAACAUCACCCUCUUCCGCGGCCUGCUCUACUGGGUGGCGCAGCUGCUGGGCUCCACCGCCGCCUGCUUCCUCCUCCGCUUCUCCACCGGCGGGCUCCCCACCGGCACCUUCGGGCUCACCGGCAUCGGCGCGUGGGAGGCGGUGGUCCUGGAGAUCGUCAUGACCUUCGGGCUGGUGUACACGGUGUACGCCACCGCCGUCGACCCCAAGAAGGGCAGCCUGGGCACCAUCGCGCCCAUCGCCAUCGGCUUCAUCGUCGGCGCCAACAUCCUCGUCGGCGGCGCCUUCUCCGGCGCGUCCAUGAACCCCGCCGUCUCCUUCGGCCCCGCCCUCGUCAGCUGGGAGUGGGGGUACCAGUGGGUGUACUGGGUCGGCCCCCUCAUCGGCGGCGGCCUCGCCGGCGUCAUCUACGAGCUGCUCUUCAUCUCCCGCACCCACGAGCAGCUCCCCACCACCGACUACUAAGCUCACCGCCGCCUGCCCCCCGCCCGCCCGUCCGUCCGUGUGGUCGAUCGCGU
Molecule: long non-coding RNA, 683 nt
Filed under: Hordeum vulgare
Lineage: Eukaryota; Viridiplantae; Streptophyta; Magnoliopsida; Poales; Poaceae
Description: long non-coding RNA (HVUL_LNC011065)
Source: RNAcentral